Molecule: transfer RNA, 68 nt
Filed under: Bubas bison
Lineage: Eukaryota; Metazoa; Arthropoda; Insecta; Coleoptera; Scarabaeidae
Description: tRNA-Ser
Source: RNAcentral
AAUUAAUGAACUUGUACAAGUAUAUAUUUUGAAAAUAUAAAAAAGAGAUUUUAAUUCUCUAUUAAUUU